RNAcentral lists this ribosomal RNA (1517 nucleotides) under metagenome. RNAcentral's name for it is "bacterial SSU rRNA". It matches the Rfam family "Bacterial small subunit ribosomal RNA". The record is from RNAcentral.
AGAGUUUGAUUCUGGCUCAGAACGAACGCUGGCGGCGUGGAUAAGACAUGCAAGUCGAACGAUUUCAGUAGCAAUACUGGGGGAGUGGCGAACGGGUGAGUAACGCGUGAGCAAUCUACCGAAAAGUUGGGGAUAGCCUUCCGAAAGGAAGAUUAAUACCGAAUGUGGCCAAGGGUGACAUCGCCCUGCAGCUAAAGCAGCAAUGCGCUUUUUGAGGAGCUCGCGACCUAUCAGCUUGUUGGCGGGGUAACGGCCCACCAAGGCUUCGACGGGUAGCUGGUCUGAGAGGAUGAUCAGCCACACUGGAACUGAGACACGGUCCAGACACCUACGGGUGGCAGCAGUCGAGAAUCAUUCGCAAUGGGGGAAACCCUGACGGUGCGACGCCGCGUGGAGGAAGAAGGCCCUCGGGUUGUAAACUCCUGUCAAGAGAGAGUAACGCUAUGUAAAUAGCUUGAGAGUAUCUCUAGAGGAAGGGGCGGCUAACUCCGUGCCAGCAGCCGCGGUAAUACGGAGGCCCCAAGCGUUGUUCGGAUUUAUUGGGCGUAAAGGGUGCGUAGGCGGCAUCUUAAGUCUGGUGUGAAAGGCGCGGGCUCAACCUGCGGACUGCAUUGGAUACUGGGAUGCUAGAGGACUGGAGAGGAGAAUGGAAUUCUCGGUGGAGCAGUGAAAUGCGUAGAUAUCGUGAGGAAGGCCAGUGGCGAAGGCGAUUCUCUGGACAGUACCUGACGCUGAGGCACGAAGGCUGGGGGAGCGAAAAGGAUUAGAUACCCUGGUAGUCCCAGCAGUAAACGGUGUGCGCUUGAUGUGGGGGGAAUCGACCCCUUCCGUGUCGAAGCUAACGCGAUAAGCGCACCGCCUGGGGAGUACGACCACAAGGUUAGAACUCAAAGAAAUUGACGGGGACCCGCACAAGCGGUGGAGUAUGUGGCUUAAUUCGAUGCAACGCGAAGAACCUUACCUAGCCUUGACAUGUAUCACUAAGUCGGUGAAAGCCGGUGAGCCAGGGGAAACCCUGGUAUUUUACACAGGUGCUGCAUGGCUGUCGUCAGCUCGUGUCGUGAGAUGUUGGGUUAAGUCCCGCAACGAGCGCAACCCCUGUGGCCAGUUGCCAACGCCGUAAGGCGCGCACUCUGUCCAGACUGCCCUGUGAAACGGGGAGGAAGGUGGGGACGACGUCAAGUCCGUAUGGCCCUUAUGGCUAGGGCUGCACACGUACUACAAUGCCCGGUACAGAAUGAACCGAUACCGCGAGGUGGAGGAAAUCAACUAAAGCCGGGCCCAGUUCGGAUUGGAGGCUGCAACUCGCCUCCAUGAAGCCGGAAUCGCUAGUAAUGGCGCAUCAGCUACGGCGCCGUGAAUACGUUCCCGGGUCUUGUACACACCGCCCGUCACAUCAUGGAAGUCGCUUGUAGCCGAAGUGCGUAAGCUAACCAGCAAUGGAGGCAGCGCCCUAAGCUAUGAGUGGUAACUGGGAUGUAGUCGUAACAAGGUAGCCGUAGGGGAACCUGCGGCUG